Molecule: long non-coding RNA, 4949 nt
Filed under: Sus scrofa (pig)
Lineage: Eukaryota; Metazoa; Chordata; Mammalia; Artiodactyla; Suidae
Description: lncRNA (ENSSSCG00040006728.1)
Source: RNAcentral
UUUUUUUUUUUUUUUCCACUCAAGCUUAAUUUCCAUCAUGGUUAGUAUGGGCCCAUUCUACUCUGUAUCUCCUCAGUUGGGAUCGUGGUUGACAGAAGAGCCACCAACAUUACUAGUACUGUGCCAGAGGAGAAAGAAAAAUGGAGAGUGUCACACUGGUGAUUAAUAGACUAAAAGGUGACACAUACCAUUUCCACUGACAAAUAAUUGACCAGAACUAAUUAUGAGGGUAUACCCAGUGGACCAGGGAACUUGUGAUGAUAACACAUUAUCAAGAGACAGUGAGAUCUCAGAGAAGAUGACCCACUAAUACCCCUGGGAAGACCAGCCACCCCAGUUGUUCCCAUGUUUUCAGUAGGUACAGAAGAAACAGAAUCACAGGUCUCAAGAAAACCAUGCAGCCUGGGACAGUAGGUAGACCAGUAUGAACCAGUGUAUCCCACACAGAGUGAGAAAGUGGACCAGUGCAGACCAGUGACUGGGGUGGGUCAAGGGAAGGGCCCUGUCAUUUUAUCAUGGGACUUUUGUACUACUCUGGGCAAUGGAGGGUACAAAUACAGAAGUGAUUGAGAUUGAACUUCCUUCCAUGGGAUGCUCAGCAUUAGUUUUAAGUGGAUUUAAAGAAAAGUGAUAUUUCUGACAUACCUGAGAUUGUAGAAUAGGCUUCAUAUCCACCAGAGCUGUUGUCUGUGUAAACUGCACUAGUUCAGCACUUAAUGCAGAGCAUUUUAAAGGGUGAUUUCUUAAAUGCUUUAGAUGAUGAUAAAAUUAACUCUUUGGGUACUUUAGCACUGACUAAAUUAAUGUAUUGACUUAGAAAAACUCAGACCUAUAAUCUUUCUAAAUUCAUAUUGGAGCUCAGUUUGGAGCAAUGAAUCACUGGUCCUUAAUCAUUUCUUUGUGAUUGUGACAGGUGAUUCUUUUUCAUCUGUUAGAAAAUCUUACACACAUUCAGCUGGCAUUUUUCUACCAUGUUCUCUGCUUGCCUUGCUUUUAUCUCAAAAUAAAUGGAGGGUAUUAGCCAUGUAAUCAUGAGAAAGUAGUUACAGUAAAAGUUGAACUGAUACAGUCUUGUUUGAAAAAAAAAAGCCUCACUCAUCUGGUGAAGAUUGCCUUACUUGACACUCUUGGAAACAUCUACUGUAAUCUUAGCCACUGUGCCACCAUAAAUGUGCAUUUAAUGAAGAUCAAAAUCUGCAAUUAAAAUAGUACAUUUCGGAGUUCCUGUUGUGGCUCAGUGGUUAACGAUCCCGACUAGUAAGCAUGAUGUUGCAGGUUCGAUCCCUGGCCUUGCUCAGUGGGUUAAGGAUCUGGUGUUGCCGUGAGCUCUGGUGUAGGUCACAGACGCGGCUCAAAUCCCACGUUGCUGUGGCUGUGGUAGAAUGUUGCACUUUCCCACGAUGAAAUGUACACAUUGUAUUUUAUUUUUAAAUUUUAUGUUUUAUUACAGUAUAGUUGAUUUACAAGAUUGUGUUAAUUUCUGCUGUACAACAUGAUUCCGGUGUAUGCGUAUAUACACACACACACACACACAUAUGCAUACACACUCUUUUUAAUAUUCUUUUCCAUUAUGAUUUAUCAUAGGACAUUGAAUAGAGUUCUCUGUGCUAAUUUCUGCCCACUUUGUGGACCUAAUUUUCUCCAGGAAAAUUAAAAAAAAAAAUCUGUGUAUUGUCCAGGAAAACUCAUUUAUAGGAUUAGUUAGUAUACUUUUAACUGAGUUUAAGUGCCCUGGCUCAUUUCUGACUUUAUAUAUAUAUAUGAUUUGUGUCUUCUUAUUGUAGUUCCCUACUAGAAACUAGUUGAUAAUUUUCCUUAAGUAAUAGCGACCAGAUGUUCUUAGAGAGACUCCUGGAUUUGGCAUAUGUUGUUUGCUAUGAAUUCUAUUUCGCAAAAUUGUAAUAAAAUAUAAUUUUUAAGAAAAUUGUAUAAAUAUAUGAACAUCAGGUUUUACAUUUAUUAAGAAUCGACAUUUUUCUUGAAUGUGGUUUUGAGGUUUGCUCCUAGAUAAUAAAUCUACAUGUGGACUAUUCCUUUAAACAUAUCCUAAUACAAUCUGUCUUAUAAACAAAUCAAUUGAGAGAGCAUUUUGGAUGUAAUUUAAAAAUAUGGAGGGAGAUACACUGUCUUCAGAAAUAAUAAAAUUUUUGCUUACUGACAAAUUUCCUGAGAUGGUUUGCACUCUACUUAUUUUAGCUUCAAUCAAACAAAUCUUUGAGUUCCCAUCGUGGCUCAGCAGAAACGAACCUGACUAGUAUCCAUAAGGGUGUGGGUUCGAUCUCUGGCCUCGCUUAGUGGGUCAGGGAUCUGGCAUUGCUGUGAGCUGUGGUAUAGGCAAAACAAAACAAAACAAAACCUAUGUAUGAAAUCCGGAAACUUUUAAAUCACAACAUAAACCAUAGGAAUGCAGUUUACUUAAGUCAGGCUUUAAUUUAAGACUGUUAUUUUAAGGACUUCCCACCAUGGUGCAGUGCGUUAAGAAUCCGACUGUGGCAACUUAGGUUUCUAGGGAGGCGCAGGUUCAAUCCCUGGCCCUGGGAUGGGAACUUCUAUCUGCCAUGGGUGUGGACAUUAAAAAAAAAAAAACAAAAAACUUGUUUUAUAUCAUGAUUGCAUCUCUGUUUUCCAUUCUGCUCACAUCUUAAGAGGUGCGUGUGUGUGUGUGUGUGCAUGUAAAUUACACAGUGCAUCUUGGGAUUCAUUGUAGUGAGUCACUUGGAAAAUUUUUCCAAAAAUGCUUGGAGUUGAUUUUUUUUUCCCAAUGCAAUUUCAAUUGCCACUAGUUCACCUCGUCAUCUUAUAUGGCAAGAAACCAACUGAUGCAGGUUUUAUCUCUUUGGCUAAAGAAUGAAUAGAUAUUUUAAAAGUGUGUAGUGUCCUGUUUUCUUUGACAACUAUAAUUUUUCCCAGGGGGUAAUUACCAGAAUAACUGCUUGUUAAUUAUACCUUUGCUUUGGGCUAAUACUUAUUCUCAUGAAAAAUAUUAUUAUUUCUGGUAGUCUCUAUUGAAGACCAGUCCGUGGGGGCCAUCCUAAGUCGGGCGGGGGGUGGGGGGGAAGCAUACAUGUUAAUAUGAAAAUAUACUCAUUUUAAUUUCAUCACCUUCUGUGACCCAAACCUUUGUGUAACGUGAUUUUGCUUUCUUUAUUCUGUAUUGUCAGCAGUAAAGUAACAGAAUAGAUUCUUCUCUGUAUGCCUAGAGGGUUUUUUCCCCAAAACCUAUAUGAUGUUUUGCUUCUACUACGUAAGAAAGGUUAAAACACACAGUGGGCCUAUCACUGUCUCCAGAAUUGCUACUGACCUUAAUCAGCUGAGUGCAUGACAAGAAUUGUGAAACAUUUUACAGUUUUCCUUCUUCUUCCUUGAUUCUUAAACAGCAAUAAAAUCUCAUUCAGCACUUCAUGUUGGGAUAGAAAGGAAACAGAAAUAUAAUUCAUUUCAUGGAUGUGGUGAGAUAAAGAAAUACUGGGGUUUUAAUUUUAGCAGUACCUUUGAAGUUAAAUAGGAGAAUAUGAGGUAGAAAAAGAAUUGUUCUUCCUCUGAAACUCUGACCUUCUUGUCACUGUCUCAACAGUGACUUGCAAUUUCAAAUCUCUCUUUGAAUAAUAAGGCAGUAUUUCCGUUGCUUGUGAAGUGAGAAAUGAAUGUUAAAUACCUAGUCACUGAGCUUUCAUUUGCUUACUGUGACAAAACCAGUGACCCAGGAAUCAUAAGUGACCGCUAAUGUCUAGCUGCUGGCUCUCAUGCUGUGGAUUUUUGUGGUGCAAAUUGUCAUCAUGUGUAGACUACUUAAUCAAGCUUCUGAGAAAUUACCAAAGAAUUUUUUUAAAAAAGAAAAAGUCACCAGAGAAAAUCACAGCAGAUACUGCACAUGAAGCACCAAAUUUCAGAUGUCACUCUUUCUCUGCAUAUGUAAAAACCUCUUAGAGAAGUUGUCAUUUUUACAUGUUAGCAAGCAUAUAACAUUUCCUUCUAGUUAAAAAUCUCCGCAGGUGAAUUGUCAUUUUAAAAUGACAGAAAGUGUGUAGCGUUUCCUUCUUAGUUACUGCAGAAUGAAGUUAUUUGAGUGUGUGACACAAUUGCUCCGCCAUCUAAAAUUCUGUUCUAAGCACUGGAGAUCUGUCAGUGAGCAAGGCAGGCGAGCUGUGCCUGUGCCUAGUAAUGUCACAUCAUUAAUGAAGGGGUUGGGGACCACAGAUCAUUUGCAAGAAGGUAUAUCUAUCAUAAAUGGUCUGAAGAAGAUGCAAGUAUAAAGUAGGGUCAUAGGAGGGGCUCACAACCUCAUGAUGGGUGAUCAGGGAGGGUCUUUCUCUAAAGAGAUUUUUACAUUGAGACCUGGGUGACAAGGACCCAGACAUGGGAAUUUCUAGGGAAAGUGCACCUCAAGCAGAGAGAACUUCUAGGACAAAAGCUUUGAGCUAGUAGAGUUUCUAGGCACAGAAAGGAAAGUGGACAGAACAGAGGGAGGAGGAGCAGACAAGGACAGGGAAGCAGACAAGGGCUAGGUCAUGAAGGAUUCUGCAGGAUUUGGUAAGUGGUCUGAAAUCUAGUCAUUGAAGAUGAGAAGCCAGUGGAAGGAGGACUGGCUUGAUCGGAAUUAUGUUUUUAAAAUAGUACUUUUCUCUUUGUGUGGAGAAUGAAUUGAAUGAGAGGAAAGAGUGAAAAGAGUAAGAGGCAUCCAAAGAAAGAAUAAUGAUGCGUCCACUUCCAGUCAGAAGCAGAGCAUUCUCUUCAGGACUCUUCAAAUUGCCCUUGUUCUGAAAUGCCUCCUACGGCCACAAAAUAAAAAUGCUGCCUAUCUAGGUGUUCCCUCUGUUACACAGAGAGUUAAGGAUCCCUUGCCACAGCUACAGCAUAGGUCACAGCUUCAGCUUGAAUAUGAUCCCUGGCCUGGUAACUUCCAUAUGCUAUGCGAAUAGCCAAAAAAAAAAAAAAAAAAAAAAAAAAAA